AAAUACAGAUCUGGCUGUGACAUCUGUCACCCCAUUGAAUGCCAGGGUUGAUUCAGUUGGUCUGGCUGGCUAGGCAGGUGUCCCCUUCCUCCCUCACCACUCCAUGUACAUAUCUCCUGAAGCUGCGCGCUCAGUUGAAGAGGACAGCCUUCCCCGAAUAGAGACGGACCGGUCUUCGGUUGAGGGUAUAUGAGUACCUGUGCUCCUCUGAUAGAACCUCCAAACAAGCUUUCAUAUAUAUACAUACAUAUAUAUGGGGGCUGGAGCUAUAGCACAGUGGGUAGGGCGUUUGCCUUGCACGCGGCCAACCUGGGUUCGAUC
Molecule: small nuclear RNA, 321 nt
Filed under: Sorex araneus (European shrew)
Lineage: Eukaryota; Metazoa; Chordata; Mammalia; Eulipotyphla; Soricidae
Description: 7SK RNA (ENSSARG00000018188.1)
Rfam family: 7SK RNA
About the family: 7SK was discovered as an abundant small nuclear RNA in the mid-70s but a possible function has only recently been suggested. Two independent studies have found that 7SK RNA binds the CDK9/cyclin T complex (known as elongation factor P-TEFb).
Source: RNAcentral